AUCCGGGCUUCCGCGUAGUCCGGGCGCCCUGGCCUCUGCACCGUCCUAGAAACCUGUCUUACGUCGAGGAACCCGGGGGACAGAGGCGCGCCAGUGCACGCCGGGGCCAGGGACGAACGGCUCGCCAAUGCAAAGGAGGCCCCUCGGGGAGACGGCAGGCAGCAAAAGGCUUCCUUGGCCGGGGGUCUGGGCGUUUGGGGAGGGGAGGUGCUCAGAGAUAGGGCCGAGGAUGGAGCUCCCAGGUGGGUUGGAGGCGGGGGUGGCUGGGCUCGAGGACGCUGUUGGAGUCCGGGGUCUGGAAGAGGCGAUCCCCGGGAAAGCCAGCUUCAGAGCCGGGAAGGGUCGGCAGGGGACCUACUGCAAGAGCCCCCAGGUUGGGGUAGGGAGGGGGCCCAGACCUGGGCCGGGAGGGAUGCUGAAUCCCCCGACCUAGCUCUGGGGCUUUGCAAACCAGCAUCACUGCAGCAUUUUGUGGCUCAAGGAAUGGGGCAGGGCGGCCAGACCAGCUGUGGCUGGUGCGUGCGUGAGGCCCUGAGGGAUGCGGCCAAUGCUAUUUUGCUGUUUUGUACUUACUCAGUUUCAUUUUGGCUCUGUCGCCACUAGGCGAAAGAAAUCGAAGUGCUAACAUACCACGGGGAGCAAUGAUUAUUACUCAAUGUGGCCCCGCCCCAGCAGCGGGAGGUGGCAUCUGUUUGACCUUGGAGACUUGGACGGUAUUUAGGGAGAUUACAUGAAAAAAAGACUCACCCCACAAUGCUUGCAGUCAGCUACAAGCUGCCUUGUCCUUCAUACCUUUUAGCCUUUAUUUCCUGAGUCUAUCUUGUCUGUUUCUAAUGUAGUCUCCUGAUUUAGGGCAAGAGAAUAUUUCUCACUCUUGGUCUGCCCACUACCCACAAUCCUUGUCCGAGGAUUUACUCGGCAAACUUAGCAGGCAAAACCCCUUGUCAACUUAACACUAAAAAAUACCGUCUCUUGGAAGGCAGUCUGCUUUGAUAAACCUAAUGGAAUAAAAAGUGAGUUUGCUAUCUGGCUUUAAAGAACAUAACCCAGCUGGGCAUGGUGGCUCACACCUGUAAUCCCAACACUUUGGGAGACCGAGGCAGGAGGAUCGCUUAAGCCCAGGCGUUCAAGACCAGCCUGGGCAACAUAGUAUAGUAAAACCCAGUCUCUACAAAAAGAAUUUAAAAAUUAGCCAGGCCAGAUAGCCCAGCUACUUGGGACGCUGAAACAGGAUUGCUUUGAGUCCAGCAGGUGGAGGCUGCAGUGAGCUAUGACUGCACCACUGCACUCCAGCCUGGUCAACAGAGCGAGAUCCUGUCUCAAAACAAAACAAAAAAACUGACAACCAAUGAAACCUCAUCUCUAAAAUCUGGCUUCAGGUUAAGUGAGUAAAAAGAGGCUUUCUUGUGGCCAGGCACGGUGGCUUAUGCCUGGUAAUCCCAGCACUUUGGGAGGCCAAGGCGGGCGGAUCACGAGGUCAGGAGUUCAAGACCAGCCUGGCCAACAUAGUGAAACCCUGUUUCUACUAAAAAUACAAAAAAAUUAGCCAGGCAUGGUGGUGGAUGCCUGUAAUCCCAGCUACUCGGGAGGCUGAGGCAGGAGAAUCAACGUGAACCCAGGAGGCGGAGGUUGCAGUGAGCUGGUAUCACGCCAUUGCACUCCAACCCCGGGCAAUAGUGCGAGACUCCGUCUCAAAAAAAAAAAAGGCUUUCAUUUAUCUUCUCAGCUCCUACAAGCCAAUGAGUGGUAGGGUAAUUUGCCGACCACAGUGGGAAGAACUAAUUUAACACCAAGAUUGUGAUUCCCCUAGUGUAGAUCCAGUAUGAAAGAAGUGUCUCAGGCAUGCUUCUGGUUCCUGAGUUAACUCUAGUGAAUAAGGUGGGCUGUGCUGUCUCCCCACCUCCCCCAGGCAUAGGGGCAGAACAGCUGCAGACCACCAGGACCCAGUGGGCCAAGUGAGGAUGUGAGUCAAAGCCAGUGCUUAUUAAACCACCUAAUACUGUACUUUUCCCAUCCAGGGGAGGCAGGAGAGGAUUGAGGAGGCAAAUCCCCGAGCCCAGAAGACUCCAGUCAGAAAACAAGAUGGUCCCCAUGGGUAGUGGCCAAUCCCUCUGGCCUUUCAGAGCAGUGGCUUUGGCCUUGUCCGCUUAGGUAACAGGCUCUGCUGCUGGUAGUUGCUUAAGAGCACAGAGUAGCCGGGCGUGGUGGCUCACGCCUGUAAUCCCAGCACUUUGGGAGGCCGAGGUGGGUGGAUCACAAGGUCAGGAGAUCGAGACCAUCCUGGCUAACAUGGUGCAAUCCCGUCUCUACUAAAAAUACAAAAAAUUAGCCGAGCGUGGUGGUGGGUGCCUGUAGUCCCAGCUACUUGGGAGGCUGAGGCAGGAGAAUGGUGUGAACCCAGGAGGCGGAGCUUGCCGAGAGCCAAGAUCGCACCACUGCACUCCAGCCUGGGUGACACAGCGAGACUCCAUCUCAAAAAAAAAACAAAAAAAAAAAAACACAGAGUGAACCAGUGAGAAGGUUAAAUGGAGGAGAAAGCAAAGUUCUUAAGACAAAAAAAGUACCCCAACAAGGGCAGGAAACAAGCUAAAUGACAUAGGCACAGACAACUGGACAAACCCAGAACGUGGGGCCUUGAGACUGUCAAGUAGCCUGGUCUCAAGCCAUUAUCAGGCCCAGGCGUGGUGGCUCAUGCCCAUUAAUUCUAACACUUUGGGAGGCCAAGGUGAGAGGAUCACUUGAGGCCAGAAAUUCAGGAACAGCCUAGACAACAUACCCAUCUUUACAAAAAAUAAAAAUAGAUUUAUUGGAAGGCCAUGUUGAAAAAAAAAAAAGAAAAAAAUUAGCCGGAAGUGGUAGUGCAGCCCUGUGGUCCCAGCUACUCGGGAGACUGAGUUGGGAGGACUGUUUGAGUCCAUGAGUUGGAGGCUGCAGUGAGCUCUGAUUGUCCAAAGCACUCCAACCAGGGCAACUGAGACCCUGUCUCUUAAAAAAAAAAAAAAAUAGGCAAAGAAAUCUAAUAUUGAAAUGCAAUUAAUGAAUUUUAAUUGGAGUCUAGGUGGUGCGGGAGGGGGAUUGGAAAAAGCUAUCAAAUGCAUUCUGAGGACAAUUUGGAGAAAUUUGCAUAUGGGCUGAUAUUAGGGAAUUAUUAAUUGGGUGAUAACAGUAUGGCGGUUAUAUUAGAGAAUGUCCUUUUUUUUUUUUUUUUUUGAGACAGGGUCUCACGGUUGCCCAGGUUGGAGUGCAGUGGCGUGAUGUCAGCUCACUGCAACCUCUGCCUCCUGGGUUUAAGCAAUUCUUGUGUCUCAGCUUCCCAAGUAGCUGGGACUACAGGCACGAGCCACCACACCCAGUUAAUUUUUUUGUAUUUUUAGCAGAGACAGGGUUUCGCCAUGUUGGCCAGGCUGGUCUCGAACUGCUGACCUCAGGUGAUCCGCCCGCCUCGGCCUCCCAAAGUGGUGGGAUUACAGGCGUGAGCCACUGCGCCUGGCCGAGAAUGUCCUUUUUGUAAGGAGAAAUAUGAACAUUGGGAGUAAAAUGCCAACAGUGACUUUCAAGGUUCCACAACCCAUAGAGGAAUUUAUCUGCCAUAUCAAGGAGUGGGUCUGUAGCCAAUCACUGUAACGUUCUUUUCAAUUUUUGUGUUUGGGAUUCAAGUGCCCCAAUACCACCUAACUACCCUUUAAAUGGAAUUAAAUAUUCUAAUUCAAGAUAUCUGUUUUGGGACCACCAAAUUUCAACUAUCUAUAUUUAAAAUCACAAGGCCAGAGUCACAUCAGUGCUCAAAGGCAGCAAAAAUCCUAUUUCAAGCUCAACCAAAUUAGAAGAAUGGAUGGCAGUAGUUACCUCUAAGAAUGGCAAUUAAUGGGUGAUCAGGUAAUGGGCAUGCUGGGAAGAGUUUCUGAUAAACCAGGGGUCUGCAAACUACUGGCCAGAGGGUAAAUAUGUCAAGCAUUGUGGGCUGUAUACGGCCGCCUCACACUUUUGUAACGUGUGUGCACUGCCAAUUCAAAAAAUAAAAACCAGCUGGGCACAGUGGCUCAUGUCUGUAAUCCCAGCACUUUGGGAGGCUGAGAUGGGAGGAUUGCCUGAGGCCAGGAGUUCAAGACCAGCCUGGGCAGUAUAGCAAGACCUCAAUUCUACAAACAAUCCAAAAAUUAGCCAGGUGUGUGUGGUGGUGGUACGCACCUAUGGUCCCGGCGACUCAGAAGGCUGAGAUAGGAGGAUCAUUUGAGCCCAGGAGGUAGAAGCUGCAGUGAGUUGUGAUCAUGCCACUGCAUUCCAGCCUGUGCAAGAGUGAGAUUCUGUCUUUCCAAAAAAAAAAAAAAAAGGCCCCAAGUCAUAGUGUUCCUCAAAUUCCUACGGCCUUUCCUCUCCAAUACUCUGGAUAACAGGAUAACAGAGUGCCACGUGAGUCCCUUACAUAACCUGAGAUGUCUUGACUCAUUGUCUUGCCAGUGUGAUCCAGCUACUCUCACCCUAACUCCUCACUGACCACAGCGCUGUGUGGUUAAUGAGAGGUACAGCUUGUGGCCAUUCAGAUUCAACCACGUUUAUCCACAUCAGAGUUGGAAAAUUCAAACCAGUGGGCUAAUUAGCAAGCUGGUAUGCCACAUGUUAAUGUUCUGAUUAGGCUGGUGACCACUGAUUGUCAACUCCUAGAACAGGGUUACCCAGCUAGUGCUCAGAAGGUUGUUUCUCUGAGUAGGCUUUGGGAACUGUGCACCCAGGAGGGAGGUGCCAUUCUUAGCCACUCAAAUCACCCAGUGAAUCAACAUGCAGUUUCAGCUGACCAGAGCAGAGGCCAACGCAUGUGGUCAUCACACAUAAAUAGAGUGGAGGAAAACUGCUUUCAUGCUUUGCUGUACUAGAAGGUCCCACUGAAUUACAUUUAUGGCCUCUCCACUCUACCCCUGACCUGAAGUUCUUGGAAUGGAGACCUCUGAUGUUUCACACUGUUAUUUUUAAUCACCUUUCGGACAAAGUAUCAGUUUUUGUUUGUUUUUGAGAUGGAGUCUUGCUCUGUUGCCCAGGCUGGAGUGCAGUGGCAGGAUCUUGGUUCACUACAAUCUAUCUUCUGGUUCAAGCGAUUCUCCUGCCUCAGCCUCCCAAGUAGCUGGGAUAAAAGGCGCGUGCUAUCAUGCCCGGCUAAUUUUUGCAUUUUUAGUAGAGACAGGGUUUCACCAUGUUAGCCAGGCUGAUCUUGAACUACUGGCCUCAGGUGAUCCGCCUGCCUCGGUGUCCCAAAAUGCUGGGAUUACAGGUAUGAACCACCACACCUGGCCUAGUAUCGGUUAUUUUUAAAAUUCUAGAAUGCACUAAAAAAGAGGCAAAAAAGACCUUUACCACUGGUGCCUGAUCUACAGACUGAUUUAAUUCAUGUAGUAUGAGGUCUUUUUUGUUUAUUGUAUUUGAGACAAGGUCUUGCUCUGUCUCCCAGGCUGGAAUUCAGUGGCGUGAUCAUAGCUCACUACAGCCUCAACCUCUUGGGCUCAAGCAAUCCUUCCACCUCAGCCUCCUGAGUAGCUGAAACUACAGGUGCACACCACCAUGCCCACUUAAUUUUUGUAGAGACAGAGGUCUCACUAUGUACUAUGUUGCCUAGGCUGGUCUUGAACUCCUGGGCUCAAGCAAUCCACCCAGCUCAGCCUCCCAAAGUUGACAGGCGUGAGCCACCGCACCCACCUAAUGAGAACUUUCUUAACCUUAUUCUGCUUCUGCCAUUCAACUUCAAUUCUUUAGGUUCACCCCUUUCCAACUACUUAUUUGUGUGAUACUGUAUUUUUUUCAAAUACUUCAAGUGAAACAACAUAUCACAAUAGGCCAGGUGCAGUGGCUCAUAUCUGUACUCCUAGUGCUCUGGGAGGCUGAGGCAGAUCACUUGAGGCCAGGAGUUUGAGAUCAGCCUGGACAACAUAGUAAGACCCUGUCUCUAAAAAAUAAAAUGGCCCAGCUGGACGCAGUGGCUCACGCCUGUAAUCCCAGCACUUUGGGAGGCCGAGGCAGGUGGAUUGCCUGAGUUCUGGAGUUCAAGACCAGCCUGGGCAACACGGAGAAACCCCGUCUCUACUAAAAUACAAAAAAAUUAGCCAGGCAUGGUGGCAUGCACCUGUAAUCCCAGCUAUUCAGGAGGCUGAGACAGGAGAAUCACUUGCACCUGGGAGGUGGAGGUUGCAGUGAGCCGAGAUCAAGCCACUGCACUCCAGCCUGGGCAACAGAGCGAGACUCCAUCUCAAAAAUAAUUAAGUAAAAUGGCCCGGUAUGGUAGCACUCCCAGCUACCUGGGAGGCUGAGGCGGGAACACGUGAGCCCAGGAGUUUGAGGCUGCAGUGAGCUAUGAUCGCACUGCUGCACUCUAGCCUGUGAGACAGAGCGAGACCCUGUCUUAAGAAAACACAUAUCACAACAGACUGGACGCCUAAGCAGAGAGUACGUGUGACUUAGCUCCCAAGAGAUCUGCAAAACAGUAAAACAAAGCUACUCUUGCACCUGUAACGGGACAUUACGCCAAAGGAACAAGGGUGAAAUAGCGGCAACUUUCAGGGGAUCUACCUUCCUUCUUCAGUGACCCUGUUAGAGCAAGCUUGACUGUUCUGAUCUUGUUCAUAUCUGUGCCAAAAGUGUUUUUUUUUUUUUUUUGCCCUCAGUAACUGCAAUACUAAAAGUGCUUGGUCAGUUAAGUGCGGUGGCUUGGCCUGUAAUCCCGGCACUUUGGGAGGCCAAGGUGGGCGGAUCACCUGAGGUCAGGAGUUCGAGACCAACCUGGCCAACAUGGAGAAACCCCGUCUCUACUAAAAAUACAAAAUUAGCUGGGAGUGAUGGCGCGUGCCUGUAAUCCCAGCUACUCGGGUGGCUAAGGCAGGAAAUCGCUUGAACCCGGGAGGCGGAGGUUGGGGUGAGCCAAGAUGGCGCCACCGCACUCCACCCUGGGCAACAAGAGCAAAACUCCGUCUCAAAAUAAAUAAAAUAAAAGUGCUUGGUCAAUGUGUGCUGAAGAGUUGGUUGCUGCCGCUCGGCCUAGUUUCUUAUGGUCUCCUAGCAGUGCAAAAGCAGCCUGGUGUGGGCAGACCAAACUCAGGCAGGCAGAUGCGGGUUAUCAGUGAGUUACAGCACCUUAGGUAUAGCAGUCACUCCUAAUUCUACAGCCAUACACUUGCAGUGGCACCCAGGGUAGUUCUGGGUGACAAAUGAGUCAACGUAAGUGAAUUCACUGAGUAUAUGCCAAAAGCCUAUUCACAGUGUGUUAUCAUUCCUGAAAUGUGAAUUAAUGUUUCUCAGAAAAUUAAGAAGCUUGGCCGGGCGCGGUGGCUCACACCUGUAAUCCCAGCACUUUGGGAGGCCGAGGCAGGCGGAUCACUUGAGGUCAGGAGUUUGAGACCAGCCUGGCCAACACGGCGAAACCCGGUCUCUAUUAAAAAUAUAAAAAUUAGCUGGGCAUGGUGGUGGGAUCCUGUAAUCCCAGCUACUCAGAAGACUGAGACAUGAGAAUAGCUUGGAACCUGGGAGGUGGAGGUUACAGUGAGCUGAGAUCGUGCCACUGCACUCCAGCCUGUCACAAAAAAAUAAUUAAAAGCUAUGAUCCAGUUAUCAUUUAAACCUACAACCACACCCACACCCACCCAGGCUAAGAAGUUUGAAUAAUUUGCCCAGGAAUCAAAAGGGGCCAUAAUUCUGGGAGGAUCACUUGAGCCCAGGAGUUCGAGCCCAGCCUAGGCAACAUGGCCAGACCCCAUCUGUUUUUUGUUUUGUUUUGUUGUUUAAAACGGGCAGGAUGGGGCGUGCCAUCACUCAAACUCAGGUCUGUGUUUCUCCCCAGUGGUACCCCGGAAAGGCCCUCAGAGAUCCAGUUGAACAGGCUCGUUUAAUAUGAGAAAAAUGGAGGCCCAAAAGGUGCAAUGGUUUGGUUUUGUUUUUUCAACAGAGAUAGGGUCUCAAUAUGUUGCCCAGGCUGGUCUCAAACUCCUGGCCUCAAGUGAUCUUCCGGCCUCAGCCUCCCAAAGUGCUGGGAUUACAGGUGUGAGCCACUGCGCCCACCCUAAAAGGUGCAAUUUUUUUUUUUUUUUGGAGACGGAGUCUCACUCUGUUGCCCAGGCUGGAAGGCAGUGGUGCAAUCUUGGCUCACUGCAACCUCCACCUCUUGGGCUCAAGUGAUUCUCCUGCCUCAGCCUCCCGAGUAGCUGGUCCUACAGACACCCAGCACCAUGCCCUGCUAAUUUUUGUAUUUUUAGUAGAGAUGGGGUUUCACCAUGUUGGCCAAGCUGGCCUUGAACUCCUGACCUCAGGUAAUCCGCCCGCCUCAGCCUCCCAAAGUGCUGAGAUUACAGGCAUGAACCACUGCGCCUGGCCUGGUGCAAUGGUUUUUUUAAGUCCCCAAACCCAAAUCUGAUUCCUGGUUGGAGGCGCUUUCCAGUAUCUACUGUCUUUCCCCUUUUUCCUGCCAAUCCAACUUCAUUGCUUGGGCUGGGGAGGGAAGAGAACACCAACAUCUGAUCCAACCUUCAAAAGCAAAGGACAGUAAAACUCACACAAUGAAGCUAAGGAGCACUGGCGUCAGAUCUGUAAGUUUAUUUGCUCAAUGUACGACAGCUACAUAAUGACUCACAUUCAUGAUAUUCCAUCACUGAGGAAACUGCUAAAGAUGGUCCGUGUGUGAAAUAAUUCCUUAGAGAAACACGGAGCUGGAAAAAUAAUCACUGAUUAGACCUUAAAAAUAGUUCACUGCAUAACAUGACAAAAAGCACAAAGGCUCAUUCAGAGAACAUAUUUGUUGUUCUCCAACACUGUAAUAGUUAUAAUUUCACCAUGACAAACACCAGACAUUAAGAUUAAGCUAACACUGGUGUUUCUUUUGCUCCCCCCCUUUUAAAAACAAAAUAUAUAACUGCAUGUCACUAUAGCAACAUCCAAAACAGAUCAAUUUGUUACAAUCACUAUUUGGUAGAGCAAACUUUACCCCCAAAAGGAAAAAUUAAAUUAAAAAAAAAAAACCUUUAAAAAAUUUGAAGACUUAAUUUUUUUUGUCAUAGGAAUACAUAACACCUACAGUAUAAGUUAAUCAAUUUCAAGCUACUGUAUAGAAAUACAACACUAGCAUGCACAAUAUUGUAUCAAUAGAGUAAUGGAGGAGUAAUCAUUUCACUGGAGAGACAGUAUCAUAGGCAAGUGCAUUUCUUUAAAAAUAAAGAAAAGAAAAACCAUUCAAGCUGCUUAAAUAUCAAGUCUCCCAUUCCCUCUCCGUUUUCAGCCCUCAGGUGUGAUUUUUAUCUUGCAUUAUUCUAAAAAGCAGCCAGAGCCAAAGCUGAAAUUUAAAGGAAAAAUAGGUUUUGUAAUUCCAGUAAAUCAUUUCCAAAUGCUACAAGGAAAAACGCAACACUGCUCACUGGACAUGAAGAUAAAUUAGGGAAAGCCCCACCUACCCUGCCCCCCCCCCCCUCCCCCCCCAAAUCGUCUUCCUCCCAUGGCAAUGACUUUAGGCGCCUGUGAGAGGCACAAAAGCGGCAAAGCUUCUUCUACUAGUUCUUCUGGUAGGCUUCACUUAACUGGGACUUUUACUCUAGCGUGAGGAGGGGGCCUCCUAAGGAAAGUCAUGCUGGGUAAACUGUGCGAUGUUACAGAGCACAUUGAGUCUGUGGUCAUCGUGGUUCUUCUAUCUUCACUGUCACCUGUAUCCUGUUACACAUACUCAGUUCCUAAUUGUAAGCUCAAUUUUGGUAUUAGCAAAAGCAUCUGUCAGUUUUUCCUCAAUUACUCACACCUCUUCUUGCCUAAAUAAAACAAAGAAACAAAGAAAACAAGUGUGGUGUCAUUACACGUCUCGGGAGUUCCUCGUCACUGACUUUAUAUAUAUAAAAAAAAGAAUGCACAUGCGGGCCACGUUCACAGAUAGACAGAUUCACCCGAAAUGAGAAUGAGGGCCUUAAGGCUGCCGAAAACAAAUGGGUGGAAAUAGCAACGUUGUUUCCGUCAAUUCCAAAUGUGCACUGGCUGCGUGAGACAAGCCAAUCUCCAAUUCCUAUGCUUUUUUCAUUAAAAAGAAAAAACUAUCUCGAGAGGAAAAAGUUCUGGUCAAAUAGGAGUUCAGUGUUUGUUAUCUGGUAACAGUUUUUUUAUCUUCCUACAAUUACUUGGGGAAGGAGUGUCUUCGGGGAGGAAAAACUGACACACUGACAAGGCUCCCGAAAUUGGACAGAAUGGUUAAGGAUAUAGCUCUUCCUUUUGGGUUUUUCUACCAGUAGGCUUCUAGCACCUGAAUUUUCACACACUGCACCACAGACCUUCUCCAAACGCCUCUCCGACCCCACAGCUUCUGCACCCAGCUGCGUCCGCCAGCACGAGGCGCAGUAGGAAACGCCCCAGUGCAGAGUGGGUGACGGCAGUGUGAUCCCUGAGGAGGGAGCUGCAGCAGCUUCAGAAGCGGGAUGUUCUCUGAAAAUACCAACACGAUCCAUGACAUACAGACCUGAAUUUUCUCUAUUUUUGUGGCGUUUCACGUUUCUCUCAAGAGGAUUAAUAAUUUUGGUGGUGGAUUUACGUUAAGAGGAAAGAAGGACCAAAAAAAAAAAAUCCCACAGCCACCUGACCUGAAGUCGCUUUCAUUCUCAUUUAGCCUAGGAGACCGAUCAACAGCAAAACCAACCUGGAUAAGGCUGAAUAAGGAUGUUAAAGCCCAAACAACUAGCAAAGGAAAAGUACACAAUCGAUGGCUUGAUGUUACAUAUGGCUGUAAUGUAGAAAUACUGUAAACUGCAAUUUAGUGUUAAUACUGUCAACUAAUCAGAGACUUCGGAAAACUGGCAAGGCCUAAACCAUAAGGAUGAAUGAGACCUCAGGUUCUAAGUCUGUCAGUCUGGGAUUUACACUGUUCCAUGUCUGUAGGCUACACCCUGGAAAACAUGCAGAGCCGAGACAGAUGAGAUAGAAAGUACCCAAAACGAGAGACGAGAGCGUAUGUACAUAAAAAUCCUUACUGGAACCACAGAACUUACUGAAUGAGGGCCAUUCCUCUUUAAGUUUUCUUUUCAUCUGAAAACCCUAUUAUCUAGCAAUAAGUUAAAUUAGAGACAGACAGCUCCACUUGCAUGAAUCUACAGAACAGUCCAGACGCCAGUGUGAGGCUGCUAUUCCAAUACCAGCACAGCUAGCCUGACUUUCCACUAGUGGUAUUUUGGCAAAAAUGUCAAAGAGGCGAUCAAAGACAGGACAGGUCGUGGGUUUCUCCCUGGGAAGGUCAUCCCUCCCUUUCCCUCCCCCACCCGACCCCCAACUCAUGGGAAAAAAAUAAAGACUGCAGUAGUAGCAUCCGCGUGCGCUGCCAGUUCCCCUGGGGCCUUAAUUGUUGCCUUCGCCGCCAUCGUCGUCCUGCUGGUCGCUCGUCCAGAGCGUGAGGUUGUCGCGGAGGAGCUGCAUGAUGAGCGUGGAGUCCUUGUAGGAGUCCUCGUUGAGGGUGUCAAGCUCGGCGAUGGCGUCGUCGAACGCGGUCUUGGCCAAGUGGCACGCUUGCUCUGGGGCGUUCUGGAUCUCAUAGUAGAAGACGGAGUAGUUAAGAGCCAGGCCUAAUCGGAUGGGGUGGGUGGGCUGCAUGUGCUCUUUGCUGAUCUCGUGGGCUUCGCUGUAGGCCUUCUCGGAGGACUCCACCACCGUCGCCCUUUUCUCUCCGGUGGCCACUUCAGCCAGGUAGCGGUAGUAGUCCCCUUUCAUCUUCAGGUAGAACACUUUGCUCUCGUACUGGGUCUCGCUGCAAUUCUUGAUCAGGUAGUUAUCCAGCAGGCUCAGCACAUCCUGGCACACAGCCUCCAACUCCUUCUCUAUCUUCUCCCGGUACGCACGGACCAUCUCAAUCUUCUUCUCAUUGCCGUCUGCAGAUGUCUUCUGCUCAAUGCUACUGAUGACCCUCCAGGAAGAGCGGCGUGCCCCCACAACGUUCUUGUAGGCCACAGACAGAAGGUUUCGUUCCUCAUUCGACAGUGGCUCAUUCAGCUCUGUCACCUGCCAGGAGGAAAGAACAGAGUUGUUAUGGUACAGAUGGUGUCCACUGGGUUAACUGUAUCUUUGAG
This 12053-nucleotide long non-coding RNA is filed under the name Homo sapiens (human). Its description in RNAcentral is "HSALNT0341596". Lineage: Eukaryota; Metazoa; Chordata; Mammalia; Primates; Hominidae. The record is from RNAcentral.